AAAUUAAAAAAAAAAAAAUUAAAAAAAAAUUUAAAAAAAAAGCUUACCGUUGUUUGUUUCCC
RNAcentral lists this non-coding RNA (62 nucleotides) under Stygamoeba regulata. The record is from RNAcentral. Lineage: Eukaryota; Discosea; Stygamoebida.